GAUGAACGCUGGCGGCGUGCCUAAUACAUGCAAGUAGAGCGAACAGACGAGGAGCUUGCUCCUCUGACGUUAGCGGCGGACGGGUGAGUAACACGUGGAUAACCUACCUAUAAGACUGGGAUAACUUCGGGAAACCGGAGCUAAUACCGGAUAAUAUAUUGAACCGCAUGGUUCAAUAGUGAAAGACGGUUUUGCUGUCACUUAUAGAUGGAUCCGCGCCGCAUUAGCUAGUUGGUAAGGUAACGGCUUACCAAGGCAACGAUGCGUAGCCGACCUGAGAGGGUGAUCGGCCACACUGGAACUGAGACACGGUCCAGACUCCACGGGAGGCAGCAGUAGGGAAUCUUCCGCAAUGGGCGAAAGCUUGACGGAGCAACGCCGCGUGAGUGAUGAAGGUCUUCGGAUCGUAAAACUCUGUUAUUAGGGAAGAACAAAUGUGUAAGUAACUAUGCACGUCUUGACGGUACCUAAUCAGAAAGCCACGGCUAACUACGUG
Molecule: ribosomal RNA, 496 nt
Filed under: uncultured bacterium
Lineage: Bacteria
Description: partial 16S ribosomal RNA
Rfam family: Bacterial small subunit ribosomal RNA
Source: RNAcentral